This 301-nucleotide ribosomal RNA is filed under the name uncultured bacterium. RNAcentral describes it as "partial 16S ribosomal RNA". It matches the Rfam family "Bacterial small subunit ribosomal RNA", at positions 509 to 807 of the family's 1533-position model. The record is from RNAcentral.
CAGCCGCCGCGGUAAUACGUAGGUGGCAAGCGUUGUCCGGAAUUAUUGGGCGUAAAGCGCGCGCAGGUGGUUUAAUAAGUCUGAUGUGAAAGCCCACGGCUCAACCGUGGAGGGUCAUUGGAAACUGUUAAACUUGAGUGCAGGAGAGAAAAGUGGAAUUCCUGGUGUAGCGGUGAAAUGCGUAGAGAUUAGGAGGAACACCAGUGGCGAAGGCGGCUUUUUGGCCUGUAACUGACACUGAGGCGCGAAAGCGUGGGGAGCAAACAGGAUUAGAUACCCCGGUAGUCCCUGUCUCUUAUAC